RNAcentral lists this ribosomal RNA (428 nucleotides) under uncultured bacterium. Its description in RNAcentral is "partial 16S ribosomal RNA". It matches the Rfam family "Bacterial small subunit ribosomal RNA", at positions 355 to 774 of the family's 1533-position model. The record is from RNAcentral.
UAGGGAAUCUUCCGCAAUGGACGAAAGUCUGACGGAGCAACGCCGCGUGAGUGAUGAAGGUUUUCGGAUCGUAAAGCUCUGUUGUUAGGGAAGAACAAGUGCCGUUCAAAUAGGGCGGCACCUUGACGGUACCUAACCAGAAAGCCACGGCUAACUACGUGCCAGCAGCCGCGGUAAUACGUAGGUGGCAAACGUUGUCCGGAAUUAUUGGGCGUAAAGGGCUCGCAGGCGGUUUCUUAAGUCUGAUGUGAAAGCCCCCGGCUCAACCGGGGAGGGUCAUUGGAAACUGGGGAACUUGAGUGCAGAAGAGGAGAGUGGAAUUCCACGUGUAGCGGUGAAAUGCGUAGAGAUGUGGAGGAACACCAGUGGCGAAGGCGACUCUCUGGUCUGUAACUGACGCUGAGGAGCGAAAGCGUGGGGAGCGAACA